UGGGGAAUCAUGGUCAAUGGGCGAAAGCCUGAACCAGCCAUCCCGCGUGCAGGAAGACGGACCUAUGGGUUGUAAACUGCUUUUCCAGGGAGAGAAACUUGCGUACGCGUUGCGCAAUUGACGGUACCCUGGGAAUAAGCAUCGGCUAACUCCGUGCCAGCAGCCGCGGUAAUACGGAGGAUGCGAGCGUUAUCCGGAUUCAUUGGGUUUAAAGGGUGCGUAGGCGGACUAUUAAGUCAGUGGUGAAAUCCUGCAGCUUAACUGCAGAACUGCCAUUGAUACUGAUAGCCUUGAGUUUGGUUAAGGUAGGCGGAAUGGGUAAUGUAGCGGUGAAAUGCUUAGAUAUUACACAGAACACCAAUUGCGUAGGCAGCUUACUGAGCCGACACUGACGCUGAGGCACGAAAGCGUGGGGAUCGAACA
RNAcentral lists this ribosomal RNA (423 nucleotides) under uncultured prokaryote. RNAcentral's name for it is "bacterial SSU rRNA". It matches the Rfam family "Bacterial small subunit ribosomal RNA", at positions 355 to 774 of the family's 1533-position model. The record is from RNAcentral.